UAACUCAACCUUACAAAACC
Molecule: microRNA, 20 nt
Filed under: Glycine max (soybean)
Lineage: Eukaryota; Viridiplantae; Streptophyta; Magnoliopsida; Fabales; Fabaceae
Description: gma-miR1527
Source: miRBase by way of RNAcentral